RNAcentral lists this ribosomal RNA (429 nucleotides) under Bacteroidota bacterium. Its description in RNAcentral is "Bacteroidetes bacterium partial 16S ribosomal RNA". It matches the Rfam family "Bacterial small subunit ribosomal RNA", at positions 355 to 776 of the family's 1533-position model. Lineage: Bacteria; Pseudomonadati; Bacteroidota. The record is from RNAcentral.
UAGGGAAUCUUCGGCAAUGGGGGGAACCCUGACCGAGCAACGCCGCGUGAGUGAAGAAGGUUUUCGGAUCGUAAAGCUCUGUUGUUAAGGAAGAACGAGUGUGAGAAUGGAAAGUUCAUACUGUGACGGUACUUAACCAGAAAGGGACGGCUAACUACGUGCCAGCAGCCGCGGUAAUACGUAGGUCCCGAGCGUUGUCCGGAUUUAUUGGGCGUAAAGCGAGCGCAGGCGGUUGGAUAAGUCUGAAGUUAAAGGCAGUGGCUCAACCAUUGUAGGCUUUGGAAACUGUUUAACUUGAGUGCAGAAGGGGAGAGUGGAAUUCCAUGUGUAGCGGUGAAAUGCGUAGAUAUAUGGAGGAACACCGGUGGCGAAAGCGGCUCUCUGGUCUGUAACUGACGCUGAGGCUCGAAAGCGUGGGGAGCGAACAGG